GAAGGCUCCUGAAGGGGAGACCUUAGAGCAGCUCCAGUGCCUGAAGGGGCUGCAGGAAACCUGGAGAGGGGCUUGGGACAAGGGAUGUAGGGACAGGCCAAGGGGAAUGGCUUUAACCUGCCAGAGGAGAGACUGAGAUGAGCUCUUAGGCAGAAGCCCUUCCCUGUGAGGGUGCUGAGGCGCUGGCACAGGGUGCCCAGAGAAGCUGUGGCUGCCCCAUCCCUGGCAGUGUUCAAGGCCAGGUUGGACACAGGGGCUUGGAGCAAGCUGCUCUAGUGGAAGGUGUCCCUGCCUGUGGCAGGGGUUGGAGCUGGAUGAGCUUUAAGGUCCCUUCCAACCCAAACCAUUCUGGGAUUUCAUGAAAACAAAAAGAAAAUGCAGUAGGGAAGACUCAUCAGAGCAAACAGCACAAGUCUGAUGAUGGAGCAGGAUGUUAAUGCAGUGAACAGGAGAGGCUGAGACCUGCAUGUUGUAUGUCGGGCAGUGUCCUAAGAGCUGCCACUAGAUACAAAGGAAUUCCAUUUACCUCGGAGUGCAGAAUGGCCAAUAUUUGUUAAUAGUCUCCAAAACAAGCCAUUCCUAUGUACCACUUACAGCAUUUAACAAGUGCUGUUAUUUAGGGUGUCAAAUAAAUGCUUUCUGAUCUCCUGUUCUUAACAGAAGUGCAUUUGAUGGAUGCCAUUCAGAGCACAGUUCAUGUGCUGCAGGGCUUGCCUAGAGUCCUGGGACACAGUGUGUUUAGGCCUUUGAGAAGGCACCUCUAAGCAGGGCUGAAUCAGCUGUGGUCUGUCUGUUGCUCUCCCAGUAAAUGAAGUCUCCUUCCAGCUGUGUCCAGGUUACAGAAUCAGCUGAGUCUAAUGCAGCUGAAUGAGUCAGGACUGUGCAGUUGUAACUCAGAUGGUGAAUGGCAGGAUUGGCGUGUUCGUCAUUCCUUUAGAAAGAUGGGUGCUUGCUUUGAAACCAUUUUGUCCAAAGGAGCAGGAGAAAAUGGUUGUUUUGAGUGAGAAGUGGGCACUUCCCUCAAUCAGAACAUCUUCCCCAGCAGAACAGCUCUAUUUGCUAUUCAUGUGCAGUCAACCCACUUCCAGGCAAGUUACUUAAAGAGCAUUUGUUCAGUGUUGGUGAUGCUGCAACGGAGCUGGCCCCGGCUGUAGGGGGUAUCCACCAGCAGAAAGCCGUUUCCACUCACCAGUGGCAACCAAGCCAGAGCUCUCACAGAAACAUGGACCCAUCCAGGUCCUUCAUUAGUAACUGAUGGCGUUAGUGAGAACAGCUGCGUGAGGUGUCACCAAGACACUCUGCUAUGCCUGUUGGCAGAGCUAUGGGAGGAAACAGGUUAAAAAGCAUCAGGGAGUCUGAGAAAGAGGCUGGCUGUGGAACCAUGCUCUGCCCUCCCUGAGGUGGGCACAGUCACCAGGAAAAACCAAGCAAGGUCAAGGGGGUCCUGUGUCCUCUCCCCGCCGAGCAGAAGGCAGUAGCUUAAAGGAAAUGAGGGAAUAGAGGCAAGUCCAUGCUCAGGGUUGCAGGCAAAACUUGUCCUUGCCCACUUCCCUUUCCCAGGUGCCUCUGUACAACAGGUAAGAGGCUCUAGAUGUGGAAGGGAAGUCAAUUGUUAAUGUGGAUGAGGGUCCCUCUACACUAGAGGUGUUGCCAAGAUCAGAAAGGCUUACCCCUGUAUUGUGACAGAUACAUCAGGAAGGAUUAUAGCUGUAGGUGAUUCUCUUCUGAGAGGAACAGAGGGUCUGAAAUGCCACAGACCCUCCUGUGAGGGAAGUGCUGCUUUCCUGGGGCCUGGGUUAAGGCCAUCACUAAGAAACCUCCUAGCCUGGUAUGGCCCUCAGACUGCUGCCCAUUACUGCUCUUCCGUGGGGGUGGCGAUGAAGUUGCAAUGCACAGACCAAGGGCAAUCAAAAGAGACUUCGGGGCCUUGGGAAGGUUGGUAAGGGAAUCUGGAGCACUGGUAAUUUUUCCUCUGUCCUUCCAGUUGCAGGCAAUGACACUGGAAGACACAGACAGACCCAGUCUAUUAAUACAUGGCUCUGUGGCUGGUGUCACAGCCACGGUUUUGGGGCUCCUGAGGUAAUAGGAGCUAAGAGAGAAACUGGUGAAACACCUCAAAUGAAUGAUGGUUGUUCCACCAAAAAGGUGACAAGCUGACAGCCCAGCUGAAGUCCCUCUACACCAAUGCAGCCAGCAUGGGCACCUAAAAGGAGGAACUGGAAGCCAUCGUGCUGCUAGAAAGCUUACAACCCAGUUGCCAUAACUGGAGCUCAGAGGAACAAAUCCCAUGACUGGAGUGUGACUGCUGCUGGCUGCAGGCUGUUCAGAAGGGACAGGAGGGGAAGGAGGGGGGGGAAAUGUCAAGAAAUGGAUAGAUUGUGAAAGCUGUUUCAAGAAUAGACACGAGCAGGUUGCAAAGUUAGGGGUAAGAACAGAUACUGAGACAACAACGGAACCUUGUAGCUGGUCUUUACUACAGGCUGCCAGAUCGAGGACAGCCUAUUGAUGUAGCCUUAUUCCAGCUACAGGAAGCAUCACGCUCGCAAGCUCUCAUCCUGCUGGGGGACUUCAGCCACCCCAGUGUCUGCUGGAGAAGUACCAUGGUGAGCUGUAGGCAAUCCUGGAGUGCAUUGAGGAUAACUUCUUAAGCCAGGUGCUUGAGGAUGGGAUUUCACAAGUGACAUGCAGGAGCCUGUCUUGUCUGUCCCUCACUCCAGUGUUGCCACAGCCUCUCUUGCUAAAGAACUCCGAGCUGUGCCAAUAGGUCCAUGGGGUGACCUGGCUGAAAGCUAGCAACAUGGAAAGAGAAGAUGCCUUUUCAAUCGAAUGAACUUCCCAAUAAAGGUAGCCUGGGAGGUCAGCAGUGGUGGUGUGCAAGCAAACAACAAAACUGGAGGCUUAAUAGAGACCAGUCAUAAUUUGCUUGUGAAAGAAGGUCAUAUAUAGUAUAUAACUACAUUGCAGCUAUCAGGAAGCAGAAACCAGAGCUUCUGUUGUGGUGAAAUGAACACAUUUGGGGACAGUACACAAGCAGUCGUUUUGCUUGUGGCUCUGAAGAAAGGUGAAUGCUGGGGGCCAGCUUUUCAUACUCUGCUUUAGUGGUGAAAGUAGGAAUGGAAACUUGCAUAGGCUCUAACAGAGUGAGGAAGAACACUGGUAACAGUUCUGAUAGAACAGUCCUUAAGCUAAAAAUGGUUUAAAAUACUGAUGCACUGUUAAAAUAUGAAGUAUGAAGCCCUACCAUUUAAAUGUGACAUUCAUAUAAGCUUAGGCUUUGGUUAGUAAAGACAUUCAUUAAAUGAGAUUUGCCUACAUCCUUGUUUCAUGGCUGUCUUGCCGCAUCUAUUGAGUGACACUGAUAAGGCUGCUCUCUAGGGGCUCACAAUAAAUUAUGAUGAAACCAAA
Molecule: long non-coding RNA, 3405 nt
Organism: Pezoporus occidentalis (night parrot)
Lineage: Eukaryota; Metazoa; Chordata; Aves; Psittaciformes; Psittacidae
Exons: 2
Source: RefSeq, a predicted model, not a curated record